Molecule: RNase P RNA, 371 nt
Filed under: Nitrospinota bacterium
Lineage: Bacteria; Pseudomonadati; Nitrospinota
Also listed under: 1 other name
Description: RNase P RNA component class A
Rfam family: Bacterial RNase P class A
About the family: Ribonuclease P (RNase P) is a ubiquitous endoribonuclease, found in archaea, bacteria and eukarya as well as chloroplasts and mitochondria. Its best characterised activity is the generation of mature 5'-ends of tRNAs by cleaving the 5'-leader elements of precursor-tRNAs.
Source: RNAcentral
CCAGACAAUUGAUUAGUCGCUUUUGUUUAUAAAGACAAGAGAGGAAAGUCCGGACUCUAUAAGAACACGGUGCCAGAUAACAUCUGGCGGGGGAAACCCCAGGGAUAGUGCCACAGAAAAUAUACCGCCUAAUCAAGGCAAGGGUGAAAAGGUGCGGUAAGAGCGCACCGGUUUUUUGGUAACAAAAAAUGCAUGGAAAACCCCACCGGGAGCAAGACCAAAUAGAGAUGGCAGGGUCUAAUUUUUUAUUUAGGCCAAAAACAGUUCUUAGUUAGCUAUCAGGGUUGGUUGCUAGAGGUUAAGUGUGAACUUUAUCCCAGAUAAAUGACUAAUUUAAAUGACAGAAUCCGGCUUAUAGAUUGUCUGGCGCA